UUAUUUUUAGUGGCGAGGAUAACUGAAUAAGGGAUCCGUAGCGAAAGCGAGUUUUAAUAGGGCGACUAGUCGCUAGGAGUAGACCCGAAACCGGCGCGAUCUAUCCAUGGCCAGGUUGAAGAUUAGGUAGUACUAAUUGGAGGACCGAACCCAAUACUGUUGCAAAAGUAUGGGAUGAGCUGUGGAUCGGAGUGAAAGGCUAAUCAAGCACGGAGAUAGCUGGUUCUCCCCGAAAACUAUUUAGGUAGUGCCUCGUGUAUAACUCAUUGGGGUAAAGCACUGUUUCGACAAUGGGGGUUUUACGACCUUACUGACUCGAUGCAAACUCAGAAUACGAUGAAGUUCGAUCACGGGAGACACACUGCGGGUGCUAAGGUCCGCAGUGGAAAGGGAAACAGCCCAGACCGCCAACUAAGGUCCCAAAGUCAUAGCUAAGUGGGAAACGAAGUGGGAAGGCCCAGACAGCCAGGAGGUUGGCUUAGAAGCAGCCACCCUUUAAAGAAAGCGUAAUAGCUCACUGGUCGAGUCGGCCUGCACGUAAGAUUUAACGGGGCUAAGCUAUGCACUGAAGUUGCGGAAUAUAUUUAGUAUAUUGGUAGGGGAGCGUUCUGUAAGCCGAUGAAGGUGAAUUGAGAAGUUUGCUGGAGGUAUCAGAAGUGCGAAUGCUGACAUGAGUAACGUAAAAUAAGUGAGAUUCUUAUUGGCCGAAAACCCAAGGGUUCCUACGCAAUGUUAAUCAACGUAGGGUAAGCCGGCCCCUAAGGCGUAGCUGAAGAGUGAAGUCGAUGGGAAACAGGUUAAUAUUCCUGUGCUGCUUAUAUGAACGAAGGAGGGACGGAGAAGGUUAGGUAGGCCUGGCGAAUGGUUGUCCAGGUGAAAGUAUGUAGGUAGGAAUGCUAGGCAAAUCCGGUGUUCUGUUGAUCUGAGAUACGAGACGAAGUUAAACUUGUUUGACGAAGCUAUUGAUACCAUGCUUCCAGGAAAAGCUUCUAAGUAUAUUGUAUAAGUGACCGUACUGUAAACCGACACUGGUGGGUAGGUAGAGAAUACUAAGGCUAUGAGAUAACUCUGGUGAAGGAACUAGGCAAAAUGACACCGUAACUUUGGAAGAAGGUGUGCCCUUGAUGGUGAUGAGACUUGCUCUUUGAGCUGUUGGGGGUUGCAGAUACCAGGUGGCUGCGACUGUUUAUCAAAAACACAGCACUCUGCGAAAUCGUAAGAUGAAGUAUAGGGUGUGACGCCUGCCCGGUGCUGGAAGGUUAAUUGAAGGGGUUAGCGCAAGCGAAGCUCUGGAUCGAAGCCCCAGUAAACGGCGGCCGUAACUAUAACGGUCCUAAGGUAGCGAAAUUCCUUGUCGGGUAAGUUCCGACCUGCACGAAUGGCGUAACGAUGGCCACACUGUCUCCACCAGAGACUCAGUGAAAUUGAAAUCGCUGUGAAGAUGCAGUGUACCCGCGGUUAGACGGAAAGACCCCGUGAACCUUUACUAUAGCUUUGCACUGGACUUUGAAUAUUUAUGUGUAGGAUAGGUGGGAGACCAUGAAGCAGCUACGCCAGUAGUUGUGGAGUCGUCCUUGAAAUACCACCCUUGAAUAUUUGAAGUUCUAACUCAGGAGAGAUUCGAGGACAGUGUAUGGUGGGUAGUUUGACUGGGGCGGUCUCCUCCUAAAGAGUAACGGAGGAGUACGAAGGUGCACUCGGUACGGUCGGAAAUCGUGCCAAGAGUAUAAAGGCAAAAGUGCGCUUGACUGCGAGAGUGACGGCUCGAGCAGGUACGAAAGUAGGUCUUAGUGAUCCGGUGGUCCCGAAUGGAAGGGUCAUCGCUCAACGGAUAAAAGGUACUCCGGGGAUAACAGGCUAAUUCCUCCCAAGAGUUCAUAUCGACGGAGGAGUUUGGCACCUCGAUGUCGGCUCAUCACAUCCUGGG
RNAcentral lists this ribosomal RNA (1927 nucleotides) under Francisella tularensis. RNAcentral describes it as "partial 23S ribosomal RNA". It matches the Rfam family "Bacterial large subunit ribosomal RNA", at positions 628 to 2551 of the family's 2925-position model. Lineage: Bacteria; Pseudomonadati; Pseudomonadota; Gammaproteobacteria; Thiotrichales; Francisellaceae. The record is from RNAcentral.